RNAcentral lists this transfer RNA (95 nucleotides) under Sphaerisporangium rufum. RNAcentral describes it as "tRNA-His". The record is from RNAcentral. Lineage: Bacteria; Bacillati; Actinomycetota; Actinomycetes; Streptosporangiales; Streptosporangiaceae.
UGCCGGCCUGGCGGGCUGGUGGACGUGUCGUUCAUGCCACGGCCUGCCAUGAAGUGAAAGUUUCAGAACAUUGUUCUAUUCGACGGCACGCAUCC